CGUUUUUUUCUUCUUCUUGGGCUAGUACCGUUUUGAUUGCUCGUGCUUUGUCUAGGGCACAAAUCUUUAUUUUUCUCUAAAUUUUUAUAUUAUCAUGCUUCUUUGCUAGCUUUUCCAUUGAUGAUAGUGAUUUUCAUCAUCAUUUGUUCCUUCAUCCUUCCGAUACACCAAGAAUGAUCAUUGUUUCUCAUCGUUUGACCGGUGUUGAAAAUUAUACUGUCUGGAGUUGUUCGCUUCAAAUUGCUUUACCUGUAAAGAACAAACUCGGCUUCGUUGAUGGUGUUUGCCUGCGUUCGGCUUAUCUUGAAUCUCUGCAUGCUCAAUGGGAUUAGUGUAAUGCCUUCGUGCUUUCCUGGCUUCUCAACACUGUUAGUUCAGAUUUGUCUGCGGGGCUCGUCUUUGCUUCUGAUUCUGCGGUGGUUUGGAAAGAUCUCAAGGAUCGAUUAAGCAAAGUAGACGGUUCCCGUAUUUUAUUUCUCCAUCGAUCAAUUGCGCAUCUUACUCAAGGUGAUGCUACUGUUUCCUCUUAUUUCACGCAAUUAAAGUUGCUUUGGGAUGAAUACACUGCUCUUGUCUCUUUUUCCGAUUGUGCAUGCGAGGUUGCCCAUCAAAAUUCGAGUCACAUUCAUCAACAGUGAUUAUUCCAAUUUUUGAUGGGUCUAAAUGAGACCUAUGCUGCAGUUCGAAGCCAGAUUCUCUUGAUGCAGCCUUUACCCUCGAUAAAUCAGGCAUACUCUAUGAUUGUUCAAGAAGAAGCUUAGAGGAGUUUUUCUUCUGUUUUGUCGCAUGUUUCCGAUCCUGUGGCUUUAUCUUCCACUGCAUUUGGCAGCCGUAAGAAAUUCACUGGUACCUGUGAUUUUGCCUGAUUUUAAGUUCAAUUGGAAGAAGGCUUCUCCGGAUGCUCUUGCUGUUUCCUCUGAUGACUCUUCACUUAAUCCUCAGAGUGUCACUACCUUCACUCCUCAAUAGUAUUCACAGAUCCUGGACUUGCUGAAUAAGAGUCAAGUUACUGUUGCACCUGCUGUGAAUUGUGCAGAAUUCAAAUCCAGUAGUUGGAACGAGGACCAUAUGUACAAGGAUAUGGAAUAUUUUCUUUUCAAAAUGCUGGGAGAGGAAUUUCAAUUAGAAAGUGAUGCGAUUCAAGAAGUUCUCAAUAGAUGUGGAUGUAACAUGCAAAAGAUGAAGAAGAAGAAAAAGAUAGUUUCCAAUUUUUUCAAAGAGCCGUGAAGGAAUAUAGAGCUACAAUGAAAGAAUAUUAUAAAGCUGUUGUUGAUGUUUUUGCUAAAGGGGAUCAAGAUCAAGCAAACAAAAUUCUCGAAUAGAUAACAUAUAUGUGUAGUUCGUAGAUACUCUUUGCUUCCAAAAGGAUCGAGAUACAAGUUAAAUUAACCUAUUUUUCCUGGGAACUUACGGAUGAAGUAGAUAAAGAGUAGUAAACCGAGUGAAAGGAAGUUUUUCCAAAGUUAAGCUUUGAUGUCAGUUGUUCAACUUUGUUAGCAAUGCGUAUCUGGCUGUAGGAGCUUUGUUUUUUUUAAUUUAAACUUAAAAAUACGAGUUUCGAUAGGCAUUCAGUGUUAGGUAAUUGGGUAUUAAUAUACAAGUUAAAUGACUCCAAUGAAGGAUUUUGGUGUGGCAUAGACAAUUUUUUCAAGAAAAGGCUCACCAAGCAGAUGAAGAAUCCAAUCAAAAGAGUUUUGAAACUCGGAACACCGAGAUAGAAGAAGAAAUGUUGUUCGAGUUGCACGAUCAUGGCAUAAGGGAGGCAAUCCAGCUUUUGAAAUAUCACUUAACUUCACUAGCUGGCUUCCUAUGUAACUUUUUGAUGCUGUAAAAUUUAACAUAUAGAUUAUGACGUAUAAGUUAAUGAUAUCAUGUAACUUUUGUUAAUGUAUGAAAUUAUGUUUGGAUAUAAAAUAUAA
Gossypium arboreum is the source of this 1919-nucleotide long non-coding RNA. RefSeq lists it as uncharacterized. The record is from RefSeq and is a predicted model, not a curated record. Lineage: Eukaryota; Viridiplantae; Streptophyta; Magnoliopsida; Malvales; Malvaceae. The transcript has 6 exons.